CAACGCGACCCCAGUCAGGCGGGGCUACCCGCCGAGUUU
RNAcentral lists this ribosomal RNA (39 nucleotides) under Castilla ulei. Its description in RNAcentral is "partial 26S ribosomal RNA". The record is from RNAcentral. Lineage: Eukaryota; Viridiplantae; Streptophyta; Magnoliopsida; Rosales; Moraceae.